GUCGGGUAUGGAGACGCAGUGCCGCGAACCCUGGUUGGCAAGCUGAUUGGUUCAGCGUGCGUUGUAGCCGGGGUCAUGACGGUGGCCCUGCCAGUUCCUGUCAUCGUCACGAAC
This is a non-coding RNA of Macrostomum lignano, 114 nucleotides long. The record is from Rfam. NCBI's taxonomy places the organism in Eukaryota, Metazoa, Platyhelminthes, Macrostomidae.